CUAGAGCAGGAAGCUGAAGACCGGGAGUAUGUGCAUGCUGAACUCAGCGAGGAAAUCAGGUCCUUAGAGAUGUCUCAGAGGCAUCUGGAAGCUACUCUCGCUCAUAAGGAUGAUAGAAUCAGGGUAAGUUACCAUGGCUAACCCAGCCUGUUCAUGAACACUCGGGAAACAAACUCACUGUGAGGAUGGAGAGGCUCUUAACUGCCUCUCACUUCUCUGCUAGGCUCUGACCAACUGCAUCAUACAGCUGAAUCAGUUUGAGAGUGGAUCUGAAUCUGAGGGUCCAGGUCCAGGCAGAUGUGAGCCAGGUGAAUUAGCCAAUGGAGAAGUGGGAGGUGAGGAGAGUAAGCUGAAGACUGGCAUGAACCAGCUGAUGGAUGUCUCUGGGACACAAGCCAAAAUAUCCGUGCUUCGGGAGGAACUCAAACUCCUGCAAGUUAAGCCGAAAGCCUCCCUGUCUGCUAACUAUGACCUGAAAGACCAGAUCAAGAAGCUGAAUGAGGACUGUGGCAUGCUGCAGGCAGCCAAGGCUGGGCUGGAGGAGGAGUGUAGGAUGCUGCAGCAGAAGGUGGAGAUCCUGAAGGAGCUGUACCAAGAGAACGAGAUGGAGCUGCAGAAGAAACUGAUUCAGGAGGAAUUGGAGCUGCAGGAGCGAGACCAGUGGCUGUCGGCUCCAGAUGAGAAGGUGGUGCUGGCCACAGAGGAAGUCAAAGUCUACAAGCAGAGAAUUCAUGAAAUCGAGCAAGAAUUAGAGAAAACAGAGCGCUCAUUUAAAAACCAGCUUGCUAUUCAUGAGGAGAAAGCCCACGAGAAUUUGGUCAAAGCCUGGCACACCGAGCGCCUAAUUGCAAAGGAGAAGCGGGAGGCCACCAGCCUGCGGCACAGGCUCCUGGAGAUGACCGAGAAGCUGGCCAUGAGUCAAGAGGAGCCAGUGAUUGGCAAGCCGAUGCCGGACCAGCCAGGAGUGCAGAAUGCGCCCCGCAGAGAUCCCGGUCCUGGGCCUGUGGCCAACAGUGACUCCCGCGGCUCCUCCCUGGCAAAGGGCAUGGACAACGGCAAGGUGAGCAUGGCUGCGAAGGGGCCCCCAGCCUAUCCAGGGCCCCUAUUCCUGGGAGGCCCCAUAUCGCACCCCGUGGACUAUGGGCCUCUGCUGCCACAAAGGCUAUGUGGGCCCUUCAGGCCUCAGCCGAUUCCUCCAUCGGGACCGCUGACAUUCGUCCCACGCAUGGGCCCACCACUUGGCUUAAGAGAAUACACGCUCGGCAUCCUGCCCAGACGCUGCGACUUGCCGGUGCACCCCCACGAGUUCUUGCCAGGACCUGUGCUAUUCAGGCCUCCAGGCCCGCUUGGCCCCCAAGAGUACUUCAUUCCUGCUCCUAGAAUGCCACCACCACCUGCCUGGCCCCAUAACUACCCACCACCGCAUGCCACAAGGGAGUCCCUGGUCUCGGAGCCCAAAGAAGCCCCAGCCUCACUGCAAAGCAGCCGGGAACCUGCCCACGCUCUGAGGCAGAGCACAUAAUACCCCACUAAUCAGAGGGCCAAGGUUUUUAUUGGUUUUGGAGGUCCAGUUCAUUUUAAAAGGUUUUUAUUACUAAACUGCCUUGAGUGGUGUACAUUUUUCAGCCAAACAAUACAGAAGUCUCAUCUUCCUCUCUAAAAUUGCCUCUUAAGCUAGAGUGACAUUCCAACUUUGAAACGUGCAAUAAUGAUCCCUGUGUUUUACUUAAUAUAGCAUAGGUAUGUGUAAAAUGAUUCAGAACAUUGUAAAAAUAAAUAUUUCCUCCGGAAAUAGUUUAAGAACACAUAUUUCUGACUCAGCCCACAGAUCAAUCUGGAUCCGGGUGAAGGAACAGGGAUUGACAGAUGCAGGGUAGGAGACAGAGAGACGGAGACAAGUCGAAGUUCGAUCAAGCCUCAUUUAUUGAUAAAGUGGUUACUGCUUUUAUAGGGCAGGGGCGGGUCAGUGGGACAGGGAGAGGCUAUGGGGUGAUCUCUGAUGGCUCAUCGUCUCAUCCGUGUAGUGAUGUAAGUAGGAGAGGAUUAUGAUUAAUAUAGGUGCAUUAUGUGCCCAUAUGAGGGAUGGCAGGGAGACAGCAGCGGGGCGGUCGCACCGCUCCCUACAUCUCCUCCCUUUCUAUUUUUCAAUCAGGAGUAUGGCAGGCCCUGUGAGGACAGCGCCUGUCUUAGGUCAAGGACCUCUUUACAUGAACCCAACUGGGCCUUACCCAUCAUGGGCUUGCAGGACAGCAGUUGGCCCUGUGCCCAUCUUAGGUGACCGGUGGUGUGGCGUGUAUGUCCUAGUUGCCCAUCUCUGGCUGUCUGUCCAUUGUCUUAGGGCGGUUAAGCGACAUCGUCAUAUGGGCCACUUGUGGGAAUUCUUUCCUGGUAGGUUUGUUGAUCUGCCAUCUCCAGCUGGUGAUCGUGUGCCUGAAUGGGCUUCGCCAUAAAUGCGUCUAUUCAGUUAUUAAAGAGCACCACAAUCCUCUGAAAAAUACAAGGACCCACAGAGAGGAGAAGCAACAAGGCAGCUAGGGGCCCAGGAAGGGCGCUAGGUAGGGAAAGAGCCCUCUCCAGAGUGUGGAGUAGGGGUUAGAGCCCAUUUGUUUUUGUUUUUUUUAAUUAAGGAGAAAAACAAAAAAAAGCAGAAAAAGGGUACAAGUUAUACAGAAUUUCAGAAAAAAAAUAUACAGUAGGAAACCACUAGUUAAUGGAUUACAUAUUGUCAUCUUAGAAAUAUUUGUUCAAGUUACAAAAUUAAAGCUUAUAUAGUGGACACUCAAACAGUGAGACCAAACAGUUCUGGUCAAUGAUCCAACAAAACUCAGUAAUAUCAUUGUCUAUCUUAUACACUUA
This is a long non-coding RNA of Cavia porcellus (domestic guinea pig), 2856 nucleotides long. The record is from Ensembl. NCBI's taxonomy places the organism in Eukaryota, Metazoa, Chordata, Mammalia, Rodentia, Caviidae.